This 253-nucleotide ribosomal RNA is filed under the name uncultured bacterium. RNAcentral's name for it is "partial 16S ribosomal RNA". It matches the Rfam family "Bacterial small subunit ribosomal RNA", at positions 524 to 776 of the family's 1533-position model. The record is from RNAcentral.
UUCAGAGGGUGCGAGCGUUAAUCGGAAUUACUGGGCGUAAAGCGUGCGUAGACGGUUAUUUAAGUCGGGUGUGAAAGCCCCGGGCUCAACCUGGGAAUUGCAUUCGAGACUGAAUAGCUAGGGUACGGUAGAGGGAAGCGGAAUUUCCGGUGUAGCGGUGAAAUGCGUAGAUAUCGGAAGGAACAUCAGUGGCGAAAGCGGCUUCCUGGACCAGUACCGACGUUCAGGCACGAAAGCGUGGGGAGCAAACAGG